Callithrix jacchus (white-tufted-ear marmoset) is the source of this 695-nucleotide long non-coding RNA. RefSeq lists it as uncharacterized. Lineage: Eukaryota; Metazoa; Chordata; Mammalia; Primates; Cebidae. The record is from RefSeq and is a predicted model, not a curated record.
CUCCCCUCUGCCCUCAGCUCACUUCCUGAGGCAGGAGAAUCACUUGAAACUGGGAGGUAGAGGUUGCAGUGAGCCAAGAUUGUGCUAUUGCACUCUAGCCUGGGCAACAAGAGUAAAACUCCGUCUCAAAAAAAAGAAAAGAAAAAGCAACUAGCUGAAUUAAUGUAAAAUAGUUUAAUUGAACAAAGAAUGGGCAGCAUCCCAAGCCAGUGUAAGCUCAGAGACUCCGAGGCAGCUGUCGCUGGAAAGGGGUCCUGAUCUAGACUCCAAGAGAGGGUUCUUUGAUCUCACACAAGGAAGAAUUCAGGCAGCCUGAAGCCCUCACCAGAAACAGAUGCUGGCGCCAUGCUUCUUGUACAGUCUGCAGAAUCAUGAGCCAAAUAAACUGAUACAGCAGGAUGCUUACCCUAGGAAUCCAGCUACCAUGCUGUGUGGAAGCCCAGGCCACAUGGAGAGGCCACAUAUCAUAUCCGGGCUGGAAGCCCCAGCUGAGGUCCCAGGUAGCCAGCAUCAGCUGGCUGUCAGGAAAUCGUCAAGCUGACUCCAGCCCAGCAACCACCUGACUGCAACCAUAUGCAACCUUGAGCAAGAUCUGCCUAGCUGAGCCCAAUCAAUGCUCCCUCCCCAUGAAACAAAAGACAUGAAUAAUAAAUGGUUGUUUUAUGCCAAUAAAUAUGGGUGGUUUACCAUGCAGC